RNAcentral lists this ribosomal RNA (216 nucleotides) under Triticum aestivum (bread wheat). Its description in RNAcentral is "partial small subunit ribosomal RNA". The record is from RNAcentral. Lineage: Eukaryota; Viridiplantae; Streptophyta; Magnoliopsida; Poales; Poaceae.
AUGACCUCUCAGAAGACAUCAUGGCCGGAGUUGGUGUACAUGCUGGCGACGCCAGCAGUCAUGACCAUCAAUAGCGAGAGACCGGACUUGACGACGGAGGUACUCCAGAUUGGUACCAGCCCAAGCCCACCGGAGUUCGACUCGACACGUGUUUGCAUCUUCCUCGACCCACGAGACAAGCUUGGCCUUGUUGCAGCCGUCCCCGUCGUUGGCUAG